GUGAAUCAUCAAAUUUUUGAACGCAAAUUGCACUCCCUGGUAUUCCGGGGAGUAUGCCUGUUUGAGGGUCGUUAGAAGAAAAAUCGAAGCAUCUCUUUUUUUUUUGAGUGUGAUCGCGUCUGAAUUAAUUUGUCUUUAAAUGUUAAUUCAUUUCAGAGUGGCUUAAAAUUUCAUCCAUCCGGUACGAUUAAAGCGUAUUUAAUAUCAAUCUUGAUUAAGAACGCGCGAUGACGUACCAACUAAUGUAGUACGUUUGACUUGGUGUUGUCAGGAUCAUUCG
This 280-nucleotide unclassified non-coding RNA is filed under the name Funneliformis mosseae. RNAcentral describes it as "partial contains 5.8S ribosomal RNA and internal transcribed spacer 2". The stretch from base 1 to 71 matches the Rfam family "5.8S ribosomal RNA", at positions 84 to 154 of the family's 154-position model. Lineage: Eukaryota; Fungi; Glomeromycota; Glomeromycetes; Glomerales; Glomeraceae. The record is from RNAcentral.